AUUGAACGCUGGCGGCAUGCCUCACACAUGCAAGUCGAGCGGCAGCGCGGGGCAACCUGGCGGCGAGCGGCGAACGGGUGAGUAACAUAUCGGAACGUACCCCGUCGUGGGGGAUAACACAGCGAAAGCUGUGCUAAUACCGCAUACGACCUGAGGGUGAAAGCGGGGGACUCGCAAGGGCCUCGCGCGAUGGGAGCGGCCGAUAUCGGAUUAGCUAGUUGGUGAGGUAAAGGCUCACCAAGGCGACGAACCGUAGCGGGUCUGAGAGGACGACCCGCCACACUGGAACUGAGACACGGUCCAGACUCCUACGGGAGGCAGCAGUGGGGAAUUUUGGACAAUGGGGGAAACCCUGAUCCAGCCAUUCCGCGUGAGUGAAGAAGGCCUUCGGGUUGUAAAGCUCUUUCGGCAGGAACGAAACGGUCCUUUCUAAUACAAGGGGCUAAUGACGGUACCUGAAGAAGAAGCACCGGCUAACUACGUGCCAGCCGCCGCAGUAA
RNAcentral lists this ribosomal RNA (500 nucleotides) under uncultured bacterium. RNAcentral describes it as "partial 16S ribosomal RNA". It matches the Rfam family "Bacterial small subunit ribosomal RNA", at positions 29 to 523 of the family's 1533-position model. The record is from RNAcentral.